AGGUUCAAUUCCUACUUUUCUA
RNAcentral lists this transfer RNA (22 nucleotides) under Boana caingua (striped treefrog). RNAcentral describes it as "partial tRNA-Gln". Lineage: Eukaryota; Metazoa; Chordata; Amphibia; Anura; Hylidae. The record is from RNAcentral.